AACGAACGCUGGCGGCAGGCUUAACACAUGCAAGUCGAACGCACCUUCGGGUGAGUGGCAGACGGGUGAGUAACGCGUGGGAACCUUCCCUGUGGUACGGAAUAGCUCCGGGAAACUGGAAUUAAUACCGUAUACGCCCUUUUGGGGAAAGAUUUAUCGCCAUAGGAUGGGCCCGCGUCGGAUUAGCUUGUUGGUAGGGGUAAUGGCCUACCAAGGCAACGAUCCGUAGCUGGUCUUAGAGGAUGAUCAGCCACACUGGGACUGAGACACGGCCCAGACUCCUACGGGAGGCAGCAGUGGGGAAUAUUGGACAAUGGGCGAAAGCCUGAUCCAGCCAUGCCGCGUGAGUGACGAAGGCCUUAGGGUUGUAAAACUCUUUUGGCGGGGACGAUAAUGACGGUACCCGCAGAAUAAGCCCCGGCUAACUUCGUG
RNAcentral lists this ribosomal RNA (432 nucleotides) under uncultured bacterium. Its description in RNAcentral is "bacterial SSU rRNA". It matches the Rfam family "Bacterial small subunit ribosomal RNA", at positions 29 to 507 of the family's 1533-position model. The record is from RNAcentral.